AUGGCGAGCAUCGUGACAACGCUAACCGCAUCUUGGGGCACCCACGAAUCUAAGCCCAUCCUCAACACGAACUGUCCCGGGCUGGCACCAAGCCCUCAACAAGGCACCCCCGGGCCCUGCCCGCAGCUUUGUUACCUUCCUCCAAGGUGCGUAACGAGGACGAUGACGGUGGGGGAGGCUUUAUCCCAACCAGCCCUAAGAGGCUGGGGGGACCGAGGGCUUUCCCAGCGCGGGGAUGCCUCAGGACCCCCGGAGGCUCCCACCCCCCGGGCGGCGGGGCUGAAGGACGGAGGGACGGGAACACACCGGUGCUCUCUGCCCCCCCCGCAAGCCUCUCCCCCCUUCCUUCCCUUCCCAACCGCGUCCCUCCCAGCCCUCCCCCGCUCACCCUCCCGUCUCGGCUCCCGAGUCCCCGCAGUCCUCCUCGCCGCCGGGCUGCUGCUGCUGCUGCUGCUCCAUGGCGGCGGCGCCGCGGCUCCGUCCAUGCCGCUCCGCUCCGCACCGCUCCGCGCCGCCGGCUGCGGGAGGGAGGCGGCGGCGGGAGGCUCCGGACCGCCCCUGCACGGGGGUCGGGGCCGAGCCUUUCCCUCCCCNNNNNNNNNNNNNNNNNNNNGCUGCGGCCUCUUUGCCCCCUGCCUGCGGGGAUUCACAGCCCUGGGUGAGAUCCCCCUGAGCCUCCUCUUCUCCAGGCUGAGCAGUCCCAGCUCUCCCGGCCUCUGCUCACAGGAGAGGUGCUCCAGGCCCUUCCUCACCUGGGUGGCCCGCUGCUGUAUUUUAUUCAACUGCUGUUAUUCAGGCUGUAGCAGACUACAAGAGAAUGGGGCAGAACUGAUUUGUCACCUCCCGGCUCCAAACUGGGAGACCACUGCUUGUGUCUCCACCAAAUCAGAAAAGAAGGAAAAUGGUCAAAAUCUCAACAUCAAAAAAUACUAGACUGGACCAGGAGGUAGAAAUGCAUCACAUAAGCCAGGAGUAAGAGAGUAAGACAUGGUAAACUGGUUUAGUUUUCCACUAGUACUCGUUUAGCUAUGUCUACGUUGUACAGCAUCGAUGUCCUUUAUUUUAAGAUAUGUUCAUGAUUGCCAAUGGUGCAGUAAACCGUGUAUAACCAACCGUACAGUAACUCAAAUCAAGAGUAGCAUUUAAUUUUGUUUAAAAGGCUCAUAAUGGAUAUAGCUCACACAACUGUUGUCUCUAAUAGUUUGUGGCCAUGGUUGUCUAAAAUAAUCUGUAUCUGGGUGUGAGUGCUGUAAAAUGAGAGGGAACAGCUUGGGAACAGCUGCAAAGGUGGUUUCAGCACACUGUAGGAACAACGAGCUUUUACCAAACCCAGCAAUGCUUGUCCUGGCACUGGUGAAUUCCCACUGCUCUAGCAGAGUGCCACAGGACUCGUGCACAGCCCUGCAGCCUCUUGGCGUCACAGGUUGAUCCAAAAUGUGUCUCCAGUGGUCUUUAGGAGAGUCUUUCAAUCUCUACUACUCAACAAUUAGAAAAAAUCAUACCAUUGCAUAGGAAACUUGGUAUUUUAUCUGUUUUGAAUAUGACUUGUUUUGUGUCCAUAGCAUUUUGAAAGCAGUAAAAAUGAUUCUUCAGUUUCUAUGGAGGAUUUCAUGUAAGUAUUUUAAUAAAUAUAGUGCUUUAAGUAUGGGAUGAGCCCUU
This is a long non-coding RNA of Anser cygnoides (Swan goose), 1659 nucleotides long. The record is from Ensembl. NCBI's taxonomy places the organism in Eukaryota, Metazoa, Chordata, Aves, Anseriformes, Anatidae.